Podarcis lilfordi (Lilford's wall lizard) is the source of this 73-nucleotide non-coding RNA. NCBI's taxonomy places the organism in Eukaryota, Metazoa, Chordata, Lepidosauria, Squamata, Lacertidae. The record is from the annotation of a GenBank genome assembly.
ACAGCUCAAUUAAAAGAGCAUGAGACUCAUAAUCUCAGGGUCAUGGUCAAGGGUUCAAGCCCCAUGUUGGGUG